RNAcentral lists this ribosomal RNA (484 nucleotides) under uncultured bacterium. Its description in RNAcentral is "partial 16S ribosomal RNA". It matches the Rfam family "Bacterial small subunit ribosomal RNA", at positions 30 to 507 of the family's 1533-position model. The record is from RNAcentral.
AUUGAACGCUGGCGGCAGGCCUAACACAUGCCAGUCGAGCGGAUGAAGGGAGCUUGCUCCUGGAUUCAGCGGCGGACGGGUGAGUAAUGCCUAGGAAUCUGCCUGGUAGUGGGGGAUAACGUCCGGAAACGGGCGCUAAUACCGCAUACGUCCUGAGGGAGAAAGUGGGGGAUCUUCGGACCUCACGCUAUCAGAUGAGCCUAGGUCGGAUUAGCUAGUUGGUGGGGUAAAGGCCUACCAAGGCGACGAUCCGUAACUGGUCUGAGAGGAUGAUCAGUCACACUGGAACUGAGACACGGUCCAGACUCCUACGGGAGGCAGCAGUGGGGAAUAUUGGACAAUGGGCGAAAGCCUGAUCCAGCCAUGCCGCGUGUGUGAAGAAGGUCUUCGGAUUGUAAAGCACUUUAAGUUGGGAGGAAGGGCAGUAAGUUAAUACCUUGCUGUUUUGGCGUUACCAACAGAAUAAGCACCGGCUAACUUCGUG